GUUGCCGAUGCUGUAUGGCGUGUUCACACGCCGAGGCGGCCACCUCCUCCCCUAGACACCUCGUUUUUUAGUCAGGUCUAUACCUGGAACCGUGACCACUGAGGGAAGGGUGGUCAUUGUGUGCCUAAUUAGGGAAAGGGGGCUGGUCAGGCCAAAUCCCUCCCUCCUCGUUUUUUAAGUCAUUGGGGCACUAUAUAUACCUUGGCCCUCCUGCUUCUUCUGGAGGCAUAUGUUCCAACCUCCAGGACCAGCACACCGCUCAUUUCUUUGCUCUGGAGGGAACCACGCUGAUAAGUGCGGCUUUCCCUGACCCUAUCGGUCCUUCCAUCAUAGAAAUUGACCUUCGUCCUGUGGAUGCCGUUAAACUGUUCCUUUUAAUAUAAAAGUAAAUUCCUUACUUACAAGGUUUGUUUUCCCUUAUUCUUGCACACUUUCCCCUCCCCUUCCCUGUGGUGGUCCCAUCCAUCACGGGUUCCACCCCUACGGGGGUGACCUCCUGUCGUGUGGAGCAGAGCCCCUCGGUGUGGAUGCAUGCCUGUGACAUCUGAUUCUUGGACUACCCCUGGGAGAUUCUGUCGGAUACCCCCAUUCAGCUUAGAGCAACAUACUGAGACGUUCUUUACACCCAUAUUAAGAUUUUCAAUUUGACGAAAAUAACGGAAGGAAUGAAUAGGGAGUGGUACAGCGGGCGCUCCAUAAACUUCCCAUACUGG
Rana temporaria (common frog) is the source of this 713-nucleotide long non-coding RNA. RefSeq lists it as uncharacterized. Lineage: Eukaryota; Metazoa; Chordata; Amphibia; Anura; Ranidae. The record is from RefSeq and is a predicted model, not a curated record. The transcript has 4 exons.